GAGUUAGCUCGAGAACCUUUGCAGCGUUGAGUGGAAGAAUGGCCCUUCGGUUGUGGCCCUACUCCCUCCAGGUCACAGCUCCCCGCCAGCAACCCGGGCUUCCACGCCUGGCCCAGGGAUAGCCCUCACGGAACCUCGGCGACCCUAGACACAGCCCUCCCCGAGGCCGCCCGCGCUGCUAGGCCCGGGGCUGAUGGCCGGGAGGCGUGGGAAGGGUCCUGGUAGGCCCCUUCCCUGGACGCAUCCAACCUGGGGCAGCUCUUGCCUUUUGCUUGUGACUUGUGGCCUGUGGCGGUCCCUGAGGGAGGUGGGGAAGGGAGACGGACUUCUGCCUCGAGAGGCUGUGGGAAAACUUGGCCAACUUUUUGGCCCACUUCUAACAAAACGACUUGAUCUUAUUUUUCCUACUCUUAUUUUUCCCCUCGUCCUGAUUUUCUCACCGACUUGUUUUUUACCUUGUAUUACGUGUAUUUUUGUAAGCCACCUCAAACCCUCUCUGGAAGGAGGGGCAGGUAUAAAUAAAUUUGUGCGCAAGUAGAGUAGCUUGCUACUUGCAUUACCCACACCCUUGUACAGAACUGCCCACUGACCCCCCAUCUCCUUGCUUUCUGGGUUACAGAUGGCCCGAAUUCCCUUCCUUCCCUUCCCUUCCUCCUUCAGGAAGUAGUUAUAACAAGAUAUAGCCCUUGCCCCAGCGAAUUUCGUAUUUAGAGGAAUCAGAACCAGGAACACCCGAGAGAAAGCUGAGGCACAAUCCAGGAGAUGCCACCAGGCAGAAUCCAUUCAUUCAUUCAAUAGUUAUUGAAGGCCUACUGUGUACCAAGAGCUCGUCCAAACUCUCGGGGUAUAACAAAGUUCCCUGUGCCCUUGGAACGGAAGACUAAGGGGUCAGGCCCUUAAACAGAGACUCAGUGGGUGCUACAGAGGGAGACAGGAUGGGAGCUCUGGGUAGUCAGGGAAGUCGGCUGGAGCAGGCCUUGACCUGGCCUUGAUGGGAUUUGGAUAAGUGAGGGGCCAUGGGGAGCAUGCAGGAAGAAAGAGCUAUUCUGGGCCUGGGGAAUCGACCUGGUUGGUCAAAGCCUGAGGAGUCCCAGGGGAAUUGGUCAUGUCAUAACUGCUCUAACCCACAGGAAGCAUUUUCUUAACUAUCAGAGUCGGGUUAUACGGUUUCCACAAGGACAACCCAGUGAACUUCAGGAAUCCAACAGGAAUGUCCAGGGAAUGGGGAGUUCGGGUCACCUUUGUAUUUCAGGACAGCUGAAGGGCUAGGUAGGGCUGCUGCCUUCUCCCAGCCUGGCCAGAUGGAUUCCCUCCUGGCACCAAGAUAGGCGCUGGGGAUGUGGCCUUGAACUAGGUUUAGUCAUCAGGAGCUGGCAGCCACCUGACAACCAUCUUGGCCCUUUGGCUGGGGCGGACCGGCUGGGUUGCUUGUUGGUUGGUGGCCGGGCAGUGGUGGCGGCUCUCCAGAGUGUGCUUUGGGUGAGUGUCAGAUUUAAGCUUUGCAUGGGACAAAAUAGUUUCCCUUUGGUCUGGGGAGCUACCUGAUAAUAUCCAGUGCAACGAGCUCUGCGGGUACAGUGCCCCAAACAGGAAUGGCUGGAAGUGCACCCACUUUAAAGCUGGGUGGACUAUGAAAGCCCAUCCAGGUGAGCCAGUGGAAGGAAAUGUUAGGACAGCGACUGCGGGCCUGUGACCCUGCUCUCUGGGGGCUGAGCUGUGUUCUGGAGUCCAGCUUGAGGCCCUGGGCUGGGUUUCUCUCCAGGCCACACGCCCUCUGGGGUUGGACGUUCAUGUCAGUUUGUUCGCCAGCUCUGGUACUUGGGGACUCCAGUCCUGCACCUUUGGCCACCUGCUCUCCCCCACCUCACACCCUUUUGAGAACAGGCCCCGAGGGUUCAGGAGAAUCUCUUGUGGUCUUUAACUUGUUUCUCUUGUCUCUAUUCCCUGCCUGCCUUCCAAGCUGUGUGAGACUAAGUGCUGGGGCUGGGGAAGGGGAAUAGUGACCCCUGAAGUCUUCAAGAGUGACUGUCCUCCACAACUUGUGGGGAGGCGCCCUCCUACCCAAUGUCUGGGGUUGCAUGGGUCCCCGCUGGGUCCUUCUGUCUCCGUAGCGGCGCGCUACUCUAACUGGGAUGUGUCCUGGGUCCCACAGUGCUCUGUCUCCUCCAGGACCCCGUGAACCUUUCUUAGGGCUGAGAGCGUGACUCUGGGGUCUCCAUACUG
Long non-coding RNA from Prionailurus viverrinus (fishing cat), 2223 nucleotides. RefSeq lists it as uncharacterized. The transcript has 3 exons. The record is from RefSeq and is a predicted model, not a curated record. Lineage: Eukaryota; Metazoa; Chordata; Mammalia; Carnivora; Felidae.